AUCAAAUACCACCCACGCCACAGCGUAGAAAGAGCUGAUUCAGCUUUUGGUGACUCUUCGGUCUCAACCUUUCUCCUAUAAUCGCUAAGCUUGUUUUUAAUCAAUGUUUAACUUCUUGAUUAAUUUCCUUGAUUUCUAAGGGCAGUUUUUCACAACUGAGAUAAUGUGUUCUAAAUGCUUGCUGAGCUGUUGGUGCACUGGAAACUGUAAACACUUCAGACUGCUUUUUGUCUCCCUAAUGCUCUCCCUUAUUAUGUGGGCUUGCAGCGCCUAUAAAUUUAGUCUUUAUUCUCUCUGCCAUCUGCAUAAUUGCCAGUGUUUAAAGAACCUCGCUUCUCCCUUUCUUUGCCACUGGGGAAAGAAUUGUUUGUUCAGCCUUCACUAAAUUAGUAUUUUUCUGGCUUCUUAUCUCUCAUGUCUUGAAGAGUNNNNNNNNNNNNNNNNNNNNNNNNNNNNNNNNNNNNNNNNNNNNNNNNNNNNNNNNNNNNNNNNNNNNNNNNNNNNNNNNNNNNNNNNNNNNNNNNNNNCACUAAAUUAGUAUUUUUCUGGCUUCUUAUCUCUCAUGUCUUGAAGAGUGGUAUGUAAUUAAUUCUGAAACUUUGAUGGUUUUCACAUUACUCACUGCCUUCUCCUUGGCAAUUCACCUGCUUUCUACUUUCUUUCUCUCAGAUCUAUUUACAUCGGGGUUGGGGUGGGGUGGGGGACUUCUCACUCACAUCUUAAUUCCAUUUGCUUUUUAAAAGGUUUUGUGGUUCUUUGGAAGAAGAGAAUGUUAUCUGCUGUCGUAGAGCCUAACUGCCGGCUCCUUUGUCAUUUUGCCUGUGCUUCCUGGGCUACAUCCCCCAUCCUUGGGAUGCAGGUAUUGGACUUGGAGGCGCCGGGUAAUCCCAUAAUGGAACCACACUUAAAAGCCGGACAGCUUCCUCAGAGUACUGUUGCUCUAAUACAUUUCCAUUACUGGCAUUUGUCAAUAUGGUACUGAGACAGCGAAGCUAUGGGGAGGAUAUUUGAAAAUGGGAGAAAAGACCAGGUUGAUAUGAAUCUUGGCAGAUUUUUCCCCAGUGUUUCUUUGCCCUCCUGCCAUACCCUCAAACAGAUUUCCUUAUUUAAUAUUUUAUUUAUUUUCUGCUCUCUGUCCUUAUUGCUAUUUCUUAUAAUAGCAAGUGAUUUAAACCGGAGGCUCUGUAAUAGGAUUUGCCAAUCACUCAUACACACUGGUUUUUAAACAUAAAUUGAAGAAUGCUGUACAUACUGUUGUACGUCUUUAUUUUUUCACUUAAACCUUUAACUUGAAGAUUAUUCCAAUCCCUCCCCUGUUCUUUUGUUUUGCAAAAAGUAAUAUCAGGUAGUGCAUUACCAUUUUCCCUUAGCAAUAUACAGCUAUCCUGUUUCCUUGCUUAAAAAUGACUACUUUAACCUGAUGUUCCUAAUUUUCCAUUUUAGGAUCCUAUCUUGAGUAUCAGUAACUCCCCUUGUAGUUGCUAGGUGCUCCAUAACUAUCUAUGGACUGGACUUGAACUGAUGCAUUUUAUGCAGAGAGGUAAAUAAUAGAUUUGAGUAGUCAGAGGCGGGGUUUAGAUUCUAAGCAUCCAAAGGCUUGCAAGGUUUUUACAGAGCCUCAUUCUUCCUGUUGCUUUAUUUCUUUAGAACAACCAGAAUUAUUUUCAAACCUCUCAUCAGAGUGGUGGUGAGUGUUCUCAUCACAGCAGGGUAGGUGGGAGGGAAACUGAUCCUUUGGGUCAGCACUGACAUAUAAUUUAGAUUUUUUUCUCUCUGAAAUGAUUUGGGUAUAGACUUGCCAGGAAGCUGCAGGUUGGACUAAAUGCUCUCUUGAGGCCUUUGCCAACCAUAUGGUUUUAUAAUUCAUGGUAAAAUGUUAGAAUGACUAAUUCACACUUACUUUAAAAUAAAGUCAGAGAACGAUGCAGAUAUGAAAGGAAGUUACCCUGUGACCCUAAGUGCUUACAGUCAGACUUUCUUUCACAAGUGGAUAAGACUACCCCUUGAGUAUCAUGUUAUUUUAAUAGCUCUGAGGUCAUAAGUUUUGAAGUGUGAAUCAGAUCCUAUUACUCCCCAUUUAUAAUGCUCCAGAGCCUCCUGCUUGCAAAUCUCCGUUUCCAUCCAAACCCUUAUUGUAGCUCUACAUUUGCACCUCUUCACCACCCAGGACUCUGUUCAUCCCGGUCUACAUCUCACUCACCCUCAGUGGCAUCAUAGGAUUCCCUAAAGCAGCUGCUCU
This 2239-nucleotide long non-coding RNA is filed under the name Capra hircus (goat). Its description in RNAcentral is "lncRNA (ENSCHIG00010010626.1)". Lineage: Eukaryota; Metazoa; Chordata; Mammalia; Artiodactyla; Bovidae. The record is from RNAcentral.